Molecule: RNase MRP RNA, 530 nt
Filed under: Colletotrichum chlorophyti
Lineage: Eukaryota; Fungi; Ascomycota; Sordariomycetes; Glomerellales; Glomerellaceae
Description: RNase MRP
Rfam family: RNase MRP
About the family: RNase MRP is an enzymatically active ribonucleoprotein with two distinct roles in eukaryotes.
Source: Rfam by way of RNAcentral
CCCUCGCCCGACAAAUCGCCAUCGAAGCUCACAAACAGAGACGCCUGCUUGCAGACGUCUCGACCUUUCGGGGUCAACCACGAGCUUUGGGAGAAAGUCCCCGGACACACGUUAUUCUUCCCUCUCGGGUGGAGAACAGAAACGCCGCGGAAACGCGCCGCCAUAGAAGCACAGCGGCUGACCUCCAAGACCUGCGCCCGGACAUAAUGCCUUCCCUCUCUGCCCUGUCCCGUCGCUACAUCGCGGUAGCUGCCCUUCCCUGACCCUCGUCGAGCCCCGAAUCUUUCAGAGGCCCGGGACCACAUGGAUGAAGAUAUGAGUCCGCGCCCGGGAUGAGAAGCCCGGUGUUUGCUCGGCCUGGCGCCACGGACGGGGAGCUUCUUCGAUGACGGGGAAGCCGCAUAGGGAUCGUCGCUUGCCGGGCGAAUUCAAGGGUCGGUCGGAGGAGUCUUUUGUCGAGAUCGACAGGUAUGCGAUUGCCCAUCCUCUCGAGGAUGGGUUACUCGAUGGGGCUUAUUCUUGGUGCGAGG